Molecule: long non-coding RNA, 789 nt
Filed under: Homo sapiens (human)
Lineage: Eukaryota; Metazoa; Chordata; Mammalia; Primates; Hominidae
Description: HSALNT0229109
Source: RNAcentral
CAGGGAGCCCGAGCCGCCCAGGAGGCUGUAGCACAGAGAGAUCUCCACCCCUCACCUCCCUCUCCUGGGGGAACAUGCCACGCUUUUUCUAGGAGCAAGUCCUUGAGAAACCUACAAUGAAAAGUGGGAGCUACCUACACAGGGCGAACUCUGACGUCAUCCAGGCAUUCCCAAUGGAUCCGAAGACUCGAUGGAAGAUAGUUUUCUGUCUCCCCUGCCAACACCCACAGAAUUCCUCUAACUGGUCUCCUGGCCUCACUCUGCCUCAUUUCCCUUCAUCCUAGAAAACAAUAGCAGAUCAAUGUUUCUGAGGCAAUGUUUUUUUAGCUCUACCAAUGUCCCCCCGACUCAAAAAACCAUUAUCUCACUACCUAACUAAUAAACUCCAACCUCUUUACCUUGGUACUCAAGAUUCCCCCUACCUUUGGUGUAUCUCGCAGUCCUGCCAAACCAAACAGUGCAUGCUGUCCAAACAUACACACUGCGUCCUUCUCUUCUGUCUCCGUAGUAUCAGAUGAUAGCAUUUGAGCAAAGCUGUCAUUUGCUAGCCAAGUGGCUUUUGGAAAGGUCAUUUUACCUCCCUCAGCCUCAGUUUCUGCAUGUAUAAAUUAUGGAUAAGACUCACCUCAAAUUGUUUUUAUAAAGAAUUAAAUUGAAUUAGCUAGAAUAUGCAAAAAUCCCUGGCUCCCUGCCCGACAUGGGGUGCCUACCAAUAAUUAUUCAAAUCUAAAUAUUGGCCUAUGCCAUGCUCUGCUUCCUUUUCCUAUUAAAACUUUAUUCUUGAAAAAU